Molecule: unclassified non-coding RNA, 263 nt
Filed under: plant metagenome
Description: partial contains small subunit ribosomal RNA, internal transcribed spacer 1, and 5.8S ribosomal RNA
Source: RNAcentral
UUUCCGUAGGUGAACCUGCGGAAGGAUCAUUAUUGUAUAAUCGAGGUGCGAGGGCUGUCGCUGACCCGAAAGGUCGUGCACGCCCGAGUGCCCUCACACACAUCCCUCUCACCCCUAUGUGCACCACCGCGUGGGUCCCCCUUUGGCUUGUUCGGCGGGGGGCUUACGUUUUCACACUAACUUUGUAUGCAGUGUAGAAUGUAUUUUUUGUUUUUGCGAUCACGCAAUCAAUACAACUUUCAACAACGGAUCUCUUGGCUCUC